ACUCCUGUGGUCUUACGAUUAAACCUCGCGAGCACGAGAGGAGGCGCCCGCGUCCGAUUAGCUAGUUGUAAGUAAAGCCUUACCAGGCGAGGAUCGGUAGCUGGUCGGAAGGAUGACCAGUCACACUGGACUGAGACACGUCAGACUCCUACGGGAGGCAGCAGUAGGAAUCUUCGCAAUGGGCGAAAGCCUGACGAGCAACGCCGCGUGCCGGAUGAAGGCCUUCGGGUCGUAAACGGCUUUAUGAGGGAAGAAUAUGACGGUACCUCAGGAAUAAGGAUCGGCUAACUACGUGCCAGCAGCCGCGGUCAUACGUAGGAUCCAAGCGUUAUCCGGAAUUAUUGGGCGUAAAGAGUUGUGUAGGCUGCGUGUUAAGUGAAAUGUGAAAUUUUGUGGCUCAACCACAAGAGUGCAUUUCAUACUGACAUGCUAGAGAGCAGUAGAGGUAGUUGGAAUUCCCGGUGUAGGAGUGAAAUCCGUAGAUAUCGGGAGGAACACCAAUGGCGUAGGCAGACUACUGGACUGUUUCUGACGCUGAGACACGAAAGCGUGGGUAGCGAACGGGAUUAGAUACCCCGGUAGUCCACGCUGUAAACGAUGGAUGCUAGCUGUUGAACGUAUCGACUCGUUCAGUAGCGAAGCUAACGCGUUAAGCAUCCCGCCUAGGGACUACGAGCGCAGGCUUAAAACUUAAAGGAAUUGACGGGGACCCGCACAAGCGGUGGAGCGUGUGGUUUAAUUCGAUGAUACGCGAAGAACCUUACCAAGGUUUGACAUCCUGGUCAUAGAUUUUAGAAAUAAAAUUGUCAGUCCGGCUGGACCAGUGACAGGUGCUGCAUGGCCGUCGUCAGCUCGUGUCGUGAGAUGUCGGGUUAAGUCCCUAAACGAGCGCAACCCUUGUCGUUAGUUAUAUAUGUCUAGCGAGACCGCCCUGGCAACGGGGAGGAAGGAGGGGAUGAUGUCAAGUCAGUAUUGCCCUUACACCUUGGGCUACACACACGCUAAAAUGGCCGGUACAACGGGCAGCGAAGUCGCGAGACGUAGCUAAUCCCAUCAAAGCCGGUCUCAGUUCGGAUUGCAAGCUGCAACGCGCCUGCAUGAAGCCGGAAUCCUAGUAUCGUAAGUCAGCAUACUACGGUGAAUACGUCUCGGGUCUUGUAACACCGCCCGUCACGAAAUGGAGUCCGAGGGCCCGAAGUGACUACUGGCUAGGUAUUAAAGCGAAACCGAUGACUGGGUCGAAGUCGUAACAAGGUAACC
RNAcentral lists this ribosomal RNA (1260 nucleotides) under uncultured microorganism. RNAcentral describes it as "bacterial SSU rRNA". It matches the Rfam family "Bacterial small subunit ribosomal RNA", at positions 185 to 1501 of the family's 1533-position model. The record is from RNAcentral.